RNAcentral lists this long non-coding RNA (319 nucleotides) under Capsicum annuum. Its description in RNAcentral is "long non-coding RNA (CANN_LNC001934)". Lineage: Eukaryota; Viridiplantae; Streptophyta; Magnoliopsida; Solanales; Solanaceae. The record is from RNAcentral.
UGUAACUCUGCAAUUACCACAGGAUAAAAUAAUAAACUACACAAAUUAAUGAAUACAUCUUACGAAAGUCCACCCAAUUGUCUCGUUAUGCCCCAGAGAUGAUAGUUGGGCCAAGGGCUAGAUAAGCAAGUUUACAUCAGGAGUUCCAGACUUAGUAAAGAAGGAGUGCACUAUGGACAUGCUGAUUGGAGACAUGGACAUUUCAAGGUUAAUAACUCAUUAUAGGUAGAUAGAGGAGGACAAACUGAAAGAGGGAGUAUAGUAGACGAGUAAGAGGCUAAGAUGAUAAACUUUGAGGAUAGCCAUCAAAGGAGAAAAA